Molecule: transfer RNA, 141 nt
Filed under: Hapsidospora chrysogenum ATCC 11550
Lineage: Eukaryota; Fungi; Ascomycota; Sordariomycetes; Hypocreales; Bionectriaceae
Description: Acremonium chrysogenum ATCC 11550 tRNA
Rfam family: tRNA
About the family: Transfer RNA (tRNA) molecules are approximately 80 nucleotides in length. Their secondary structure includes four short double-helical elements and three loops (D, anti-codon, and T loops). Further hydrogen bonds mediate the characteristic L-shaped molecular structure. tRNAs have two regions of fundamental functional importance: the anti-codon, which is responsible for specific mRNA codon recognition, and the 3' end, to which the tRNAs corresponding amino acid is attached (by aminoacyl-tRNA synthetases). tRNAs cope with the degeneracy of the genetic code in two manners: having more than one tRNA (with a specific anti-codon) for a particular amino acid; and 'wobble' base-pairing, i.e. permitting non-standard base-pairing at the 3rd anti-codon position.
Source: Rfam by way of RNAcentral
GCCCGGUUAGCUCAAUCGGUUAGUACUCCUGGCUCGUCCCGAGACAAUUUCAUGACUGCGGCUAACCCCCCCAAAGGUAGAGCGUGAGACUCUUAAGAGCACACGAUCUCAAGGUUGCGGGUUCGACCCCCGCAUCGGGCU